Arachis ipaensis is the source of this 144-nucleotide non-coding RNA. Lineage: Eukaryota; Viridiplantae; Streptophyta; Magnoliopsida; Fabales; Fabaceae. The record is from RefSeq and is a predicted model, not a curated record.
AAGUAAAUUUGGAAUAAACCGAAAUGGAAUAUGAAGCUGAUUCUCAAGAGCCUCCAACUCCUGGUGUUCCUGCUGCUCCCGGUGCUUCUGCUGCUCCUAGUUCUUCUACUGCUCCUAGUGCUUCAUAUAUAGAAAGGAAUAAAA